UACAGAGGGGGCAAGCGUUGUUCGGAAUUACUGGGCGUAAAGGGCGCGUAGGCGGCCUUCUAAGUCGAACGUGAAAUCCCCGGGCUCAACCCGGGAACUGCGUCCGAUACUGGAAGGCUUGAGUCCGGGAGAGGGAUGUGGAAUUCCAGGUGUAGCGGUGAAAUGCGUAGAUAUCUGGAGGAACACCGGUGGCGAAGGCGACAUCCUGGACCGGUAUUGACGCUGAGGCGCGAAAGCCAGGGGAGCAAACGGG
RNAcentral lists this ribosomal RNA (253 nucleotides) under uncultured bacterium. RNAcentral describes it as "partial 16S ribosomal RNA". It matches the Rfam family "Bacterial small subunit ribosomal RNA", at positions 524 to 776 of the family's 1533-position model. The record is from RNAcentral.